Molecule: long non-coding RNA, 345 nt
Organism: Lontra canadensis (Northern American river otter)
Lineage: Eukaryota; Metazoa; Chordata; Mammalia; Carnivora; Mustelidae
Exons: 3
Source: RefSeq, a predicted model, not a curated record
GUCUCCGCGCUCUGCACGUGCCUGCGUGGGGGGCUUAGGCGGCCACAGAGAACCCUCAGGUGAGGGAAUGCAGUUCCAGGUGGAGUGGAAGUAAGACCUGGUAAAAGAUAAACUGACACAUGGUAGACAGUUUAAGACUGAGCAGAAAUCAGCAGGAAACCGGCAGUGCCGAAUGAAAAGUAGUCAGGGGCACUUUGCCACAGACAGAAGCUGGGGAGAGACUUUCAUAGAGAAAAGGCAGAAGCAAGAAAAUUACUCCUGAAUAUUUUUAUCUCCUGGCAUCCUGUUCCAAUGAGUUUGUGAAAGCUGGACAACAUGGUGUUCUAUCAAGAAAAUGUCUAUGAG